CAGUCGCCGCGGUAAUACGAAGGGUGCAAGCGUUACUCGGAGUUACUGGGCGUAAAGCGUGCGUAGGUGGCGGUUGUUUAAGUCUGUUGUGAAAUCCCCGGGCUCAACCUGGGAAUUGCAGUGGAUACUGGGUCACUAGAGUGUGGUAGAGGAUAGUGGAAUUUCCGGUGUAGCAGUGAAAUGCGUAGAGAUCGGAAGGAACAUCUGUGGCGAAGGCGACUAUCUGGGCCAACACUGACACUGAGGCACGAAAGCGUGGGGAGCAAACAGGAUUAGAUACCCGCGUAGUCCCUGUCUCUUU
This 301-nucleotide ribosomal RNA is filed under the name uncultured bacterium. RNAcentral's name for it is "partial 16S ribosomal RNA". It matches the Rfam family "Bacterial small subunit ribosomal RNA", at positions 509 to 806 of the family's 1533-position model. The record is from RNAcentral.